GGUUGUUUGGUUCCGGGAGUUCUUUGGACGUCAAUAACAAUGUCAUACUUGAUACACAGAUCAUAAAGAGCACUGAAGUCAAGAAUUCCAACGCCAUGGAGCUAGAAUCCAUCAAGCGUCAAUUUGCAUACCUUGAAAAUGGUGAUGUUAAGAUUACCAAGCUUGUGACUGACAGACAAAUCCAGGUUACAUCUUACAUGGCUAAGGAGAAGCCAGAAAUAGAACAUGUUUAUGAUGUUUGGCAUGUGGCCAUAGGAGAGAAAAAGAGGUUACUUA
Long non-coding RNA from Xenia sp. Carnegie-2017, 276 nucleotides. RefSeq lists it as uncharacterized. The transcript is spliced from 3 exons. The record is from RefSeq and is a predicted model, not a curated record. Lineage: Eukaryota; Metazoa; Cnidaria; Anthozoa; Malacalcyonacea; Xeniidae.